UCCAGCUGCAGGGAGGCGGGACCCCCUUGGGAUUCACUAAGCGCUGGGAGCAAGAGACGGGAACGAGUCUCACGGACAGCGAGUGGGACAAAAUCUUUAUGCUGACACACAAAGGGAGCAUCUGCUCCAAAUACCAGGAAUGUAACUACAAAAUCUUAACGGGCUGGCACAGAACCCCAGAUAUAUUACGUCAUGUUCACGAGUCAAUCCCC
Pelobates cultripes (western spadefoot toad) is the source of this 212-nucleotide non-coding RNA. The record is from the annotation of a GenBank genome assembly. NCBI's taxonomy places the organism in Eukaryota, Metazoa, Chordata, Amphibia, Anura, Pelobatidae.